GACGAACGCUGGCGGUGCGCUUCAUACAUGCAAGUCGAGCGAUGAGGCCCUUCGGGGUACAUCAGCGGCGGACGGGUGAGUAACACGUAGAUAACGUGCCCUUUACUGGGGGAUAACACCGGGAAACCGGUGCUAAUACCGCAUAAGUGCCAGGCUGGAAUGCCUGUCAUUAAAGCUCCGGCGGUAAAGGAUCGGUCUGCGUCUGAUUAGCUAGUUGGUAGGGUAAUGGCCUACCAAGGCUACGAUCAGUAGUUGGUCUGAGAGGAUGACCAGCCACAGUGGGACUGAGACACGGCCCACACUCCUACGGGAGGCAGCAGUAGGGAAUCUUGCGCAAUGGGCGAAAGCCUGACGCAGCGACACCGCGUGGAGGAAGACUGUCUUCGGAUUGUAAACUCCUUUCGCCAGGGAAGAAUUUUGACGGUACCUGGAGAAGAAGCACCGGCUAACUACGUGCCAGCAGCCGCGGUAAGACGUAGGGUGCAAGCGUUGUCCGGAAUU
RNAcentral lists this ribosomal RNA (501 nucleotides) under uncultured bacterium. RNAcentral describes it as "bacterial SSU rRNA". It matches the Rfam family "Bacterial small subunit ribosomal RNA", at positions 28 to 552 of the family's 1533-position model. The record is from RNAcentral.